AUGGCCGUGGCCCUCGUCUCCCUCCUUCUUGCACCGGCCUUCGCAGUGGACCACAUCGUCGGGGACGCCGUAGGCUGGACACUCAAUUACCCCGCCACCUGGGCCGACGGCAAAAUAUUCAAAGUUGGUGACAACCUAGUGUUCACGUACCCCAUUGGCAGCCACACGGUGGCCGAGGUGGCCGGCAUCGACUUCAGGUCUUGCAACAUCGACGGAAACCAAAUCAACUCCUGGGACUCCGGGAAUGACACAGUCCCGCUCGAUAAGGCUGGUAGGAGGUGGUUCGUUUGUACUAUGAAUACCCACUGCAAGCAUGGCAUGAAGCUCCUCAUCACUGUGAUUGACGACAACGCCCCGGCCCCAGGACUGGCUAGCCCAGCUGCAGGACCAGCCGGCGCAGCACCUUCGUCAGCCCCUUUGGUCGGCACGCUCAAGAUAGUAGUGGCCGACGCCCUUGCCUCAGCUAUGCUUAUGUUUUAG
RNAcentral lists this ribosomal RNA (480 nucleotides) under Triticum aestivum (bread wheat). Its description in RNAcentral is "partial small subunit ribosomal RNA". The record is from RNAcentral. Lineage: Eukaryota; Viridiplantae; Streptophyta; Magnoliopsida; Poales; Poaceae.